GGAAAAGGGAAAAAGGAAUCCCUCCUACACAAUUCCAACCUCCCAUAUUAAACACACGAACAACAAAAGAAAAGACGAAAUCUUAAUUAAUUGCUCAAAAAUUACAUAAAGGAACAAAAUCCAAUUUUUUCCAGUCGAAUCAAUCGAUCAAGCAUUGUAUAAUAUGAUAUAAAAACAAAUAAAAUUGGUUUAUAUAGACAGAAAUGAUCGUCAACGGUGAAGGAACUGCACGUAAAACGUACCGGAGAUACGACGUCAUCGGAGGGGGAGGAGCGGGACCUGAUCGCCGUCAUGGAGGGGGUGGCGGAGUCCGCAAAAUCCAUGCUUCCGACCACCUUUCACGGCGUCAACCGCUCUGUUCUGACCGUUUGUUCAAUUCCUACCGAAAUGCAUAACAACAUAAUAAUUUCUUGUUCUAAUUUCUGUAAUUGCUUUUCUCUAAUUUUUAAUAAAAUUGGAAUAUACUUCUUAUGCAUUUGAUACAGAGUACGAGAUACUAUAAAAAACGAUAAAUC
Molecule: long non-coding RNA, 515 nt
Filed under: Nicotiana benthamiana
Lineage: Eukaryota; Viridiplantae; Streptophyta; Magnoliopsida; Solanales; Solanaceae
Description: long non-coding RNA (NBEN_LNC002524)
Source: RNAcentral